RNAcentral lists this unclassified non-coding RNA (383 nucleotides) under uncultured bacterium. RNAcentral describes it as "contains 16S-23S intergenic spacer region". The record is from RNAcentral.
UCUCCGUUAUCCGAAGCAGUCUCCUAAGAGUGCGCCGCUUGCGCGGGUGGCAACAUAGGAUAGGGGUUGCGCUCGUUGCGGGACUUAACCCAACAUCUCACGACACGAGCUGACGACAGCCGUGCAGCACCUUGCACUCUGCCUGGUUUUACCCAGGAGACCCCAUCUCUGGGGCUGUCAGAGGCAUUCUAGCCCAGGUAAGGUUCUUCGCGUUGCGUCGAAUUAAACCACAUGCUCCACCGCUUGUGCGGGUCCCCGUCAAUUCCUCUGAGUUUUAGCCUUGCGGCCGUACUCCCCAGGCGGGGCACUUAAUGCGUUAGCUCCGGCACGGGAGGAGUCGACACCUCCCACACCUAGUGCCCAUCGUUUACGGCGUGGACUAC